AACGGGUGAGUAACACGUGAGGAACCUGCCCUGUACACCGGGAUAACUACGGGAAACCGUGGCUAAUACCGGAUGCUCCACCUUGAUCGCAUGAUCGGGGUGGGAAAGCUCAGGCGGUACAGGAGGGCCUCGCGGCGUAUCAGCUAGUUGGUGGGGUAAUGGCUCACCAAGGCAACGACGGGUAGCCGGCCUGAGAGGGCGACCGGCCACACUGGGACUGAGACACGGCCCAGACUCC
Molecule: ribosomal RNA, 238 nt
Filed under: uncultured bacterium
Lineage: Bacteria
Description: partial 16S ribosomal RNA
Rfam family: Bacterial small subunit ribosomal RNA
Source: RNAcentral